AUCAGAGGGAUGGAGCACGUCUCCUGUGAGGACAGGAUGAGAGAAUUGGGAUUGUUGGGAUUGUUCAGCCUGGAGCAAAAAAGGCUUUUGUGGCUUUUCAGUGCCUGAAGGGAACUUGCAGGGAAACUGGGGCAAGACUAUCUACAAGAGCAUGUAGUGACAGGACAAGAUGGAAAGAGUUCAACUUGAAGGAGAAUAUGACUGAAAAGAUCCCUUUUGCUGCUUUUUGCAUCCCUCACCCCCUGCUCAGAACAAUUUUCAUUAGAUAGGAGAGACACUACGACUGUUUUUGAUUGCAAUUUUACAUUCUGCUCUGUUCAUAAAUGCAAAAAUAUAAAGGAUAUCAAGCACCAGUGAAAAUUCAUAUUUGUUGAGCUGAAUGAGAAAUGAUGAAAGCUGAAAUACUCCCUUUUAAACAGUAGCUGGAGCAACUACUGGAAAAGGGGAUUGUGCACAUCCAAAGUGUGAUGCUGUGAUUAAUUAUCUUACUCACAAGAGGAAGAAAACAACUAUUAUCAUGGUAAAAUAAGAUAUUACUCAGUGGGAAAUUAUAUCAACAGAAGCUUCAGAAAAAGAAAAGAAAGCUUUUGUAUGGUCUUUGGCAUGAAAACAAAACAAAAUCUGGAUCAAGUUAUAGUUGAUAUAAACAUUAGAAUCUGAGGUUUUUAUGACAUCAUUUAUGAAAUUUUAAUUAGUACAGAGACUCAUGAAGCUGUCAGACUACAGGGACUGAAGCAGAAAAUUAGGAUUAUGAAACUGCAAUGCAUACAACUCUGUUUUAUGUCAUCUAUUUUGAAUGCUAUGACUUUCCUUUAUAUGUCAAAAUAAUGCUAUAAAAUUAAUGUUUCAUUGCUUCUAUUGAUAAUCUUUCUUUUCACAGUAGUGCUUUGGUUUCCUAAAUGUUAAUUUAGAGUGCAAUGCAUCCAACACAUAAAAGAAAAAUAUAUUUUAAAGAUGCUGAAUUAUCUAAUGUUAUUAGGUUUUAAAAAAUUAUUAUUGUAAACUGAUAUUAUUCAAUUUGUUUUACCCUACAGAAACCUUUUGCACUUUUAAGUCUGGAAUGUCUGGAAGAAACUAAGACACUAAGAUAGACUCUGUGACUUUAAAAAGCAGCUAAAAAAAGAGGACAGAGUGGAACAGAAGGACAAGAAAGGAAAGAACUUGCAGCACUGAAGCUAAGCUGUUCCUGGACCUCAUGGUCCAGCCAGAGCUGAAGGCACAUUUGCAGAUAAUACCAUGCAAUUUUCUCCUACUGCUUAAAGAAAAAUGGAGACAGACAGGAUGAGAUGAAGGCGCCUGAAGCUCUUGCAGACUCCUGUUGGCUUGUUUGACAAGAUCUUACUAGUACAGAUGGGAAAUAGGCUAUUGCAGAGAUGGAUAUUAGUACAAGAAUCAGAGAAGAAAUACAUUUCAUACUGAGCCUGAUCAAAGAUCAAGAGUAAAGGUAUGAAACAAGAAUAGCCUUUAAAAAAAUCAUGCCAGCCUGGUUCUUAUAAAACAUACAGAAAAAAGGAGACAUCUCACACCAGGCCUGUUCUAAGAUAAAGAAUGAAAAUAUAAAGUAAGAAUUGCCCUAAAAAAUUUAUGUGCACCAAGAUAGUUGGGUCCUUAUAAAACUAUAAAAAAACAACAGAAAUGGAUAUGAGAUUUUAAAAUUCCAAAUGAAAGCAAAACUUCUGUGUUAAUGAAGUAAGUCUAGAAAGUCUUCAAGUUGCUUAAGAAGCUGGCCAAAUAAAUUAGAAUAAAAUAUUAUGGUUCCUGCUACAUGUCAUUGAGAGGCUGGUGGUGCAAUUCAUACUUAACAUUAAGAAGCUAUGCAGAAUAAAAAUCACUGACUACAUAUCA
Molecule: non-coding RNA, 1845 nt
Organism: Lonchura striata (white-rumped munia)
Lineage: Eukaryota; Metazoa; Chordata; Aves; Passeriformes; Estrildidae
Source: RefSeq, a predicted model, not a curated record